Molecule: ribosomal RNA, 330 nt
Filed under: Triticum aestivum (bread wheat)
Lineage: Eukaryota; Viridiplantae; Streptophyta; Magnoliopsida; Poales; Poaceae
Description: partial small subunit ribosomal RNA
Source: RNAcentral
CUGGACAUGGCUAGGAUUAACUAUGGUGUCAUAUCUCUGAUCCCGAAAGUAGUUGGGGCUACAGAUAUUUGGCAGUUCCGCCCCAUCACGGUGAUCAACAUGCUGGAUCAAAUCUUUGUGAAGGUUUGCGCGACCCGUUUAUCCCCUGUGGCGGAAAGGAUUGCCCACCCCCUUCAGUCCGCGUUCUUGAAGGGCUGGCGGAUCCAUGACGGGAUUCUUGCCCUUCACGAGAUCGUCCACGAGGUGGCGUUGAAGGGGCUUAAGGGGGUCUUCCUCAAAUUGGACUUCCAGAAGGCAUAUGAUCAUCUGGACUCGUCCUUUUUGAGGUUG